This 253-nucleotide ribosomal RNA is filed under the name uncultured bacterium. RNAcentral describes it as "partial 16S ribosomal RNA". It matches the Rfam family "Bacterial small subunit ribosomal RNA", at positions 524 to 776 of the family's 1533-position model. The record is from RNAcentral.
UACGGGGGGGGCAAGCGUUGUUCGGAAUUACUGGGCGUAAAGGGCUUGUAGGCGGCCAACUAAGUCAGACGUGAAAUCCCUCGGCUUAACCGGGGAACUGCGUCUGAUACUGGAUGGCUUGAGUUCGGGAGAGGGAUGCGGAAUUCCAGGUGUAGCGGUGAAAUGCGUAGAGAUCGUAAGGAAGACCAGUGGCGAAGGCGGGUCUCUGGACAGUUCCUGACACUGAGGCACGAAGGCCAGGGGAGCAAACGGG